Neofelis nebulosa (Clouded leopard) is the source of this 3717-nucleotide long non-coding RNA. RefSeq lists it as uncharacterized. NCBI's taxonomy places the organism in Eukaryota, Metazoa, Chordata, Mammalia, Carnivora, Felidae. The record is from RefSeq and is a predicted model, not a curated record. The transcript has 2 exons.
AAUGUUACAUUAGUUUCAGGUGUACAACAUAUUGAUUCAACAAUUCUGUACAUUAUGCUAUGCUCACCACAAGUCUAGCUACCAUGCGUCACCAUGCAAUACUGUUACAGUACCACUGACGAUGUUCCCUGUGUUAUACCUUUUAUUCCUUUGACUUCUUCAUUCCAUAACUGGAAGCCUGUGUGUCUCAUUUCCCUUCACCCAUUUUGCACAACCUCCCACCGUCCUCCCCUUUGACAACCACCAGAUUAUUCUCUGUAUUUAAUAGGUCUGAUUCUGCUUUUUGUCUGUUUAUUCAUUUGUUUUUGUUUUUUUAGAUUCUGCAUGUGAGUGAAAUCAUGAUUUUGUGUUUCUCAGUCUGACUUGUUUCAUUGAGCACAAUACCUUCUGGGUCCGUCCAUGUUAUUGCAAAUGGCAAGGUCUCGUUCUUUUUAUGGCAGAGUAAUAUUCCCCUAUGUAUGUAGACCACAUCUUCUUUAUCCAUUAGUCCAGCAGUGGACACUUGGGUUCCUUCUGUAUCUUGGCUAUUGUAAAGAAUGCUGUGAUAAACGUAGAAGUGCACAUCUUUUCAAAUUAGUAGUGUUUUCAUUUUCUUUGGGUAAAUACCCAGUGGUGGAAUUGUUGGAUCAUAUGGUAAUUCUAUUUAUAAUUUUUGGAGGAACCUCCAUACUAUCUACCACAGUAGCUGUCUCUUUUCCAGUCAUUUCUAUAUGGCAAAGCACAGUACAAUGAGCUUUAUAAAGAUCUUAAAGAGGAGACAUUCACAGAUAGCACCCAGUUUGGAUGUGGAUGUGUCUCCAUGGCCCGUUGUCUGGGAACAGUGGUGUUACUGGCUGACUGACUUGACCAGUUAGUACUGGUUGCUGCACAGGUCAAGCUCAGCACUCCUCGUAGCGGCAUCUGCUGGGAGAUAACGUGGUGUACAGAUGAGGAGACGCUGAGCUUCCACAUUUAAGUAGCUUGCUUGCGCUUUGAUUCACGUCUAGAACCUGGGUCUUCUGGUUUCUGACUGAACACAGCAGCCUUCCGCUGAGUAAGUUGUAUGCAUUCCCAAAGGCUUUCACAGCAUGGGCAUCUUACUGACCUCCAUCUUAUGAGGAAGGUAUGCAGGAAAUUCUGGGCAGAGAAAUCUUGCCAAGCGCCCCGAAACAGUAUCUUUUAAAGAAUCAUGUCCCCUUUCCCAGAACUGGUUUCCUCAGAUUGGUUAUUUUCUGAAUAAAUGCACAGAAAUGUAAGAACGUAAGAAAAAGAAAUAUGAAAAUAAUCCUUGAAAUGAUUGGUAUUUGACACUCCUUCGUGGCUCAGUCAGUAAAGGCCCAACUCUUGAUCUCAGCUCAGGUCUUGAUCUCAGGGUCAUGAAUUUAAGUCCCACAUUGGGCUCCAUGCUGUGAGGGAAACCUGCUAAAAUUUUUUUUAAUUAAAAAAUGAAAAUAAAUGACUGGUAUUAAAGAUAUUUUUGUUUUACCUCAUAUUCCUCAUUUUUACCAGCGUCCAACAUGUAGUACCAUGUAGACGUUUGUUUCCCUUUUCUUUUUCUCCGUAUUCCUUGCUCUUGCCAUUUUUUUGUGUAGUGGUUAAAGAUAUUGUUUCUGGAGCCAGAUUUGUCUGGUUUGAAUCUUGUCUCCACCACUUAAAACUGCGUGAUCUUAGGCAAGUUGCCUAAUCUCUCUGGGCCUCCCUUUCCUCAGCUCCACAAUGUGGACACGAAUAGUACUUAACAUCAUAGGAUUCUUAUAUGGAUUAAAGUAGUCAUUUCAUGGGGAGCCUGGGUGGCUCAGUCAGUUGAGCGUCUGGCUUCGGCUCAGGUCAUGAUCUCAUGGUCCAUGAGUUCAAGCCCCAUGUGGGACUCUGUGCUGACAGCUCAGAGGCUGGAGCCUGCUUCAGAUUCUGUGACUCCCUCUCUCUCUGCUCCCCCUCGCCCCACUCAUGCUCUGCCUCUCUCUCUCUCAAAAAUAAAUAAACAUUAAAAAAAUUUUUAAGUAGUCAUUUCAUGUUAAGAGUUUAGAACAGUACCUGCACAAGGUAAGAACUCCGUAUAUGCGCACUAGUCUUUCUCCUCCUCCUCCUUCCUUCCCAUGUUAGCACUGCCCCUGCCACUGGUGUUCUGUUAAUGUCCUCUGUUAUUCAUACUUUUAUAAUUAAUCGACAUUAUUAUGUCUUCAAGUAAUUUACAUAGUAUUUUAUAUUUUCAAAAUAGUUUUAUGUGUAUUUUUGCAUCUGUUCCUCUUACCAACCAAUAUAAGUUAGGCUGAGUCAGUUUUAAGAAACUCAAGGAAGUAACUUAUCCAGGAAUAGAAUUCAUUAGAACCCAAAGCUAGAUCCUGGUUUUCUGACCCUAAAGUCCCUGCAUUUUUAUUAACUUUAUAUUUUCUUUAUUUUUAUCAAGCAGUAUUUUAUAUGUAAAAAAUAAUAUUCAUUACAUAAUACAUGAAAACAAAAUGAGGACCUGUAAACCUAAUGCCCAACUAAGGAUUAAAUUACUGUCAUUUCUGUUACGAGUACCUUUGUGUUCUUGUCUGUUCUGUCUCCUGCUUUUACCCCACCUCUGAGAAAAUUAUCAUCCUUCCUGAGUUGUUUUUGUUAAUGUUUACUUACUUAUUUUGAGAGAAAGAGAGUGUGUGUACGUGGGAGGAGCAGGGGUGGGUAGAGGGGGAGAAAGAGAAUCCCAAGCAGGCUUCGUGCUGCCAGUGCAGAGCCAGAUGUGGGGCUCAUUCCCACAAAGCAUGAGAUGAUGAGCUGAGCUGAAAUCAAGAGUCAGAUGGUCAACCGACUGAACCACCCAGGCGCCCCCAUCCUAAGUUUUAUACUUAUCUUUCCCUUCUCAUCUUUUAUCAACUUCAUUGAGGUACAAUUUCCAUGCAGUAAAAAUAUACCCAUUUUAAGUGUGCAAUUUGAGGAGUCUCUACAACUGUAUACACUCAUGUAACUACUACCCCAAUGAAGAUGUAGCACAUAUUCAUCACUCCAGAAUCUUCCUUCCAAUCCUCUUUACUAUUAGUCCCUCCCACCUCUAGUCCCAGACAACCCAGUGCUUCCUGUUACUAUUGGUGGGUUUUCCCUGCUUUAGAAUUUGAUAUAAAUAGAAUUUAUCAGCAUACUGUUUUUCAGAGUCACCGUAUUGUUAUAUGUAUGACUGGUCCAUUCCUUUUCAUUGCUGAGUGGUAUUCUGCUCUUUGUGCCACAAUUCGUUUAUCCGUUUGACUGUUGACAGUCAUUUGGGUUGUUUCCAGGUUGGGGGUAUCAUGAUUAAAACUUCUAGAAAGUCUUUAAGUCUUUUUGUGGAUAUAUGUUUUCAUUUCUCUUGGUUAAAGAAUUGAGGGUGGAAUUGCUGGUCAUAGGGAAGGUACAUGUUUAGUCCUAAAAGAACGUGCCAAGCUGUCUGCCGUUUAUACCAUUUUAUAGCCCCCCCAGCGGUAUAUGAGAAUUCCAGUAGCACCACAUCCUUGCUGACAUUUAAUGUUGUCAGUCUUUUUUAUGUCAGUCAUUUUAGUGGAUAUGAAUAUCAUUGUGGUUUUAACUUGCUUUUCCCGGAUGACUGGGUAUGUACAUUUUUAGUUUUGAAUUCGCUUCGGUAGAAGCUGUACAUUAUCAACAUUUCGUGCUUAGUUUAUUUUUUUUAGUGGCCUGUGAAAACUUCUUCAGUCCCGAUACCACUCAAAUGUUUGUACUUAAAGUUAAUUAAUGAGGUAUUCAGAAAGUAUAAGAUGUGCUAAUUCA